This 433-nucleotide long non-coding RNA is filed under the name Theobroma cacao (cacao). RNAcentral's name for it is "long non-coding RNA (TCAC_LNC001501)". Lineage: Eukaryota; Viridiplantae; Streptophyta; Magnoliopsida; Malvales; Malvaceae. The record is from RNAcentral.
CUGAGUUCACCCUCACGUGGUGGUUUGGUGUGAAGUGAACUCUAAAGUUUUAACCUCAGGAGUUAUCCAACCGUGCCUUUCAUACUGAGGUAUGAAUAUAAUAGGGUUACCGUGCCCCUCCAAUAGGCUGGUCCACGGAACCUGUCCACUGCAGCGACCAAUUUAUAACCCACCAAUUCAAUAAAAUUCAACAGCAUGACAUGACAAUUAUUUUAUUUUACAACCUCUCAAGGUAAAUCAACAGUUCAUACUUUUUCAGCACAUUUACCAAAUCCAGCCACUCAUGCCCACAUUAUCAUAAGCCAUUCAAUUUAAACCAUGAUUUACAACACAGCAAUUAGUCUCCAAUUACUCCAUUUUUAAAACCAUCAUUCAAUUUCAAGACAAUUUUAUAAAAUCAUUUCAUUUAAAUCACAUUUUAGUUACAAAACAC